GGGGACAGAGGGCAGAGUGCACAGCCAUGAACAGAGCAGACAAGCACCUGCCAUGUGACACGCAAAUCACGCCUCACACUUCCUGCAGGUCCCGCAGCCUCGAGUACUAGGUGUUUUAAGAAAAACGAGAAGAAAAUAGUACCUGAAGCUUCCCGGAGGAAUGUUAUGGGCCCAGCUCUCUGGCAGCUUCAUUACCAGCUGGGCGACCUUGGGUCAAGUUUCUUCCCCUCCCCAAGCCUCAGUGUUGCCAACUGUACAGUGGGACUAAUCGAACCCGCUCAUGGAACUCUUAGGAGGGUAACGAAGAGCAGCCGCGCCAAGUGCCCGUCACAAGCCCAGGGUGGAGCAGUUUCUCAGAGCUGGCUGAGGUGCCGUCUCCUGGGCUGCAGUCCUCAUUUUGCUCCAAAUAAAACUGAACUCGCAGCUCUCAGGCUGGGCAUCAUCUUCAGUCAACGUCAGGAGAGAGCAGAGGAGACACACGGCGGCACCUGACUCAGACAGGGACUCCUCCCUAGCGUGGCGGCGGGCUCCUCACUGUGGUGGCUGCUCCUGUUGCAGAGCCCGGGCUCCAGGGUCUGGUGAGCCCCUCUUUCAAUUAAACAACAUUUGGUAAGUUCUUCCUGCAAAAGGAGGACAAAAACAGACAAACAAGAAACAACAGCUGGGGGACAAAGGCAGAAGAUGAAAGGAUCUCACAUGAACUGAUGGCAGAUGCUUCUGUUUUUAAAAAACGUUUAUUUAUUUGUGGCUGUAUUGGGUCUUAGCUUCUCUCGAG
Long non-coding RNA from Odocoileus virginianus texanus, 775 nucleotides. RefSeq lists it as uncharacterized. The record is from RefSeq and is a predicted model, not a curated record. Lineage: Eukaryota; Metazoa; Chordata; Mammalia; Artiodactyla; Cervidae.